This 253-nucleotide ribosomal RNA is filed under the name uncultured bacterium. RNAcentral describes it as "partial 16S ribosomal RNA". It matches the Rfam family "Bacterial small subunit ribosomal RNA", at positions 524 to 776 of the family's 1533-position model. The record is from RNAcentral.
UACGGGGGGAGCAAGCGUUGUUCGGAUUUACUGGGCGUAAAGCGCGUGUAGGCGGUCCGGUAAGUCCGCUGUGAAAGUCGGGGGCUCAACCCUCGAAUGCCGGUGGAUACUGUCGGGCUAGAGUGCGGAAGAGGCGAGUGGAAUUCCUGGUGUAGCGGUGAAAUGCGCAGAUAUCAGGAGGAACACCGGUGGCGAAGGCGGGUCUCUGGGCCGAUACUGACGCUGAGGAGCGAAAGCGUGGGGAGCGAACAGG